CCCUUAGAUGUCCUGGGCCGCACGCGUGCUACACUGACACUUACACCGAGUUUUUCCAAUGCCGAAAGGCCAUUGGUAAUCAGCAAUAAGUGUCGUGAUGGGGAUAGAUCUUUGGAAUUAUUGAUCUUGAACGAGGAAUGCCUAGUAAUCGUAGGUCAUCAGCCUGCGAUGAUUACGUCCCUGCCCUUUGUACACACCGCCCGUCGCUCCUACCGAUUUCGAGUGGUUCGGUGAAUAAUUCGGACUGCAGCACUGCUUGGUCUCCAGGCUUUGCAGCGGAAAGUUUAGUGAACCUUAUCACUUAGAGGAAGGAGAAGUCGUAACA
RNAcentral lists this ribosomal RNA (325 nucleotides) under uncultured eukaryote. RNAcentral describes it as "partial 18S ribosomal RNA". It matches the Rfam family "Eukaryotic small subunit ribosomal RNA", at positions 1470 to 1796 of the family's 1831-position model. The record is from RNAcentral.